GCUUCUCAGCUGGUGAGACUCAGGAAC
RNAcentral lists this non-coding RNA (27 nucleotides) under Cricetulus griseus (Chinese hamster). Lineage: Eukaryota; Metazoa; Chordata; Mammalia; Rodentia; Cricetidae. The record is from RNAcentral.